CCAAUAGCGUAUAUUAAAGUUGUUGCAGUUAAAAAGCUCGUAGUUGAAUUUCGGGAUUCUACCGUCGGUCGGGCUAACAAGUCUGUACUGGUGUGUAGAAUUUCUACCUUCUGGGGAACUAUCAUGUUAUUAAUUUAGCGUGGUGGGAAACCAGGACCUUUACCUUGAAAAAAUUAGAGUGUUCAAAGCAGGCUUACGUCUGAAUACAUUAGCAUGGAAUAAUAGGAUAGGACGGUGGUCCUGUUUUGUUGGUUUCUGAAUCACCGUAAUGAUUAAUAGGGAUAGUUGGGGGCAUUAGUAUUCAAUUGUCAGAGGUGAAAUUCUUGGACUUAUUGAAGACUAACUUCUGCGAAAGCAUUUGCCAAGGAUGUUUUCAUUAAUCAAGAACGAAAGUUAGGGGAUCGAAGACGAUCAGAUACCGUCGUAGUCUUAACCAUAAACUAUGCCGACUAGGGAUCGGACGAUGUUAAAUUUUAUUGACUCGUUCGGCGCCUUACG
This 498-nucleotide ribosomal RNA is filed under the name uncultured Glomeromycotina. RNAcentral describes it as "partial small subunit ribosomal RNA". It matches the Rfam family "Eukaryotic small subunit ribosomal RNA", at positions 591 to 1092 of the family's 1831-position model. Lineage: Eukaryota; Fungi; Glomeromycota. The record is from RNAcentral.